CUUGUAUUCAUGUUUUUAGGCACUCUGGAAAUUGAUCUAGAGAUCCUUAAUAUGCGCUUGUUUUCAAUAUCAGUAUGAUUUCAACAAUCCCCAUGAUAUAUUCUCUUUUGCUUCACCUCAACUUCCGGUUCACAUAUGAAGUUCAUUCAAAAUCUUUCCACUUCAUAUGAUCACUUGUUGUUUUUUUAUUGAGCAGUACUAUGCAUACUUCUGCUAUCUGGAGAAUUGACAAGUCAUCUUCUUUUGUCACAGGUUUUGCAAGAAGUUUUGAGACGCUACUCUGUUCCAGAAAGUUUGUUUGGCAGGGUUUGCAUAAUUAUAGACAAGGUUAGCUUUAUGAUUCAACAUUGAAUAUGUUUUCUCCUCAUCUUCCUGAGGCAAGGUCUGUCACAUUAUCAUAAAUUUGGACUCGACUAGCCAAAGAGUUGAGGGGGGGAAAUAAAAGAAACCGACAUGGUGAUCUCAAAUUACUUCUCUUCCUAUAUUCUAUCCUAUUUUCUUUAUCAGAUCCGGUGUCGUGAACGUAACAUGCCAUCAUUAGAUAUGUUUUUCCCGCAUUCACAAAGGCAAAACUUGAAAAAGGCACAGAGCUUUAUGACCGUUGUUGGUAUGAGAGUUCCCUGUGUAUCAAAUUGAAAGUCGGUUUUCCUUUUCAAUGCUUGGAGAAACUUAAAAGCCAUCUAUGAAUUCCGCUCGAUGGAAAAAUGAGUUACCAUAGGAUAGUUCAGGAAAGACUUCUCUGGCAGCAUUUCAUAUGAGUGGAAGUUAAUUUAUUAAUGCCUAUUCAUUACUGUAAUUCCUCUCUCUCUCUCUCUUUUAUUGGGGGAUUUUGGUGCUUGGGUGAUUUGAAAUAUACAUUAUCUGAGGGGGCAGCAUGCACUGUAAUUUACUUCAUAAAUACGCAGAAGGAUAUGGAGACCUUUGUCCCAGGAAUUGUAACCCUUUUAUAUUUCUCGUCAUCUUUUCAACGGGGUAGCAAUGAUAUAUGUCAAUGGGAUUCAGCAAAGGCGUGAUGAGUCAAAUUUACUGUAAGCUAUAUAAAUGUAUCAGUUAUUGAUCUGUUUUAAGUUGUACAGCUUUAUUGAUUUACCAUUAGUACGCUCAAUUUGAGAAACUGAAUAUGGGUGCUUUGCUGUUCAUGCCUCUCUCACAGACGCGUUGUAAAGUUUUUCUAAUUGUUUUGUAUAGUUUGCAUUACUGUUCUGCUAUUUUUUAUUUAAUCAUUUCUCUCCUUUUUUUCCCAACAGAUGGAAAAGAUUCCAAUAGAUGAAAUCAAGAAAGAAUUGAAGUCUGCUGAGUUAUCAGAGGAGGCUAUUGAUGAGCUUUUGGAAAUUCUUUCUAUGAAGUCUUUGGCGAUGUUGGAAGGUUGGUCUUACUGUUUCUCAAGUUAUAACUUCAUUUUCAUCAUUUUUCUUUUCAGUUUUGGAAGUUUGGGACCGUGGAAUCAAUUUUGCCUAUCUUUUUCCUUAAUUUUCUGUGUCUAUUUCUGUCUCUGGCAUGUGAAUUAGGAUCUCGCAUGCAAAGUCAACACCACUAAUAGGGCCGGGCCACCAGGCUAGUGCCAGAAUUUGUCUUAACUAUUUUAGAAUUAAGCAACAUGCUCCUUAAAUGAAAAUUUGGAGACCUUAAGACUAGAAAAAUUGAUUGGGGAAUGCAACUGCAAAUUGUCAUAAUGUUAAAUUGCUUCAUAUUCUUCUGUCAUGUGUUUAAUAGUUACUUGAGGCCAGUUGAGAAAAGGUUAUGUCAGCAAGAGUGUUAAUUUUGAAUCAAUUAUUAUUUAUUAUCUUGUUAUAUUAACAAUUGUGGUGCGUUUUGCUUUUGUUGUAGAGAAACUUGGGGAUUCCGUGGAAGCACUUGCUGACUUAAAGCAACUAUUUUUGCUUGCUGAAAAGUAUGGUUACUCUGAGUGGAUUCAGUUUGAUGCAUCCAUUGUCCGUGGCCUUGCUUAUUAUACUGGAAUCGUAUUUGAGGUAAAAUUUAUAAAGCAUUUUUCCCCAUUUUCUUUCUGAACCUUAAGGGUCCCAUGUCGUCGGCUGGUUUCUUAAUUGUGUGAUUCAAAUAUAAUUGUGUAAUCAAUUAGUCAGCAAGAUUCAUAAAAUCUCUUUUUCGUUUAUUGUCGCUGUUGAUGACCUGAUACAGAAAGUGUACAAACUACAAUUAGAGCAGUUCCAAUGCUCAUGGAUUGCAAUCUAGGUGAUAUCUAAAUAGAAAGUCUUCCAGUCUAUUUGGCAUUAAUGUCUAAUGAAUAGACGGCCUAGUCAUCUAUUAUGUAUAUAUUUAAUAGGGUAGAGAGAGAAUAAUAAAAAGGAUGGAAAAUAUAAGAUGAGAUUUGUUGGGGCGGGGGGGCGGGGGGGAGGGGGGAUUGAAUUAUGGUGACUUACUCUAUCUCUACUUUUCUCUUGCUACGUCAACUAGACAUAGUCAGAGACAUGCUGUAUUAGAGAGGAACUUCUAUAUACAUUUACUUUCUGUAGAAAAGAAAAGAACCAUGCCCUACCUAACCAGAACUGGUCGGUCCUGAUCUGGUUCAGUUCCAUCGCUAGCCAUAGAACUGUUUGGUUCCCGAUUUGGUCUGGUACCAGUCACCAGACUAUGCGCACUCCUAGCCUACACUUAUGAAUUAACUAAGAAAUUGGAUAAUAAAUUUAUCAGGAUAGCAUUUUCACUCAACCUGUUUCUGGCUGGCUACAAUCAUUCUCAUAUGAGUAGGUUAUUCUCUAUCUCAUUAUCUUAUUGUAUUUCCUUCUUCAGGGAUUUGAUCGAGAAGGAAAACUACGAGCCAUUUGUGGAGGUGGGCGAUAUGACAGGUUACUUUCGACUUUUGGAGGCGAUGAUAUUCCAGCCUGUGGCUUUGGAUUUGGUGAUGCAGUUAUAGUAGAAGUGAGUCGAGUUUCUCUUAAAUUUUUGGCUUGGGUGUUUGCUUAAAAGUUCUUCCUUUUUCUUUUCUUUUUUUUUUUUAAAUUGAAAAAUAAGGAGUGAUUACUUUUACGUACUGAACAUGGUGAAUGCUGAAAUUUUUUCUGCCAAACUGUUUGGUUAGGCACUAAAUUUUAUCAAAUAUUUGAUGAUAAAAUUGAAUGAGUUGGAAGUGAGCCAAAUCGGGAAAUAUAUACAUAAUUUACUUGCUUAUAUUUUUUAUCAAUUGUGAAUAAUGUAUAUUAUGUAAACAGUUGUCAAUCAUUUGGAGUUGAUAGAAUAAAUUAUAUUUUUUCCUAAAACUAAUUUGAGUUACUGAUCUACUCAGCUUGCUCUAUGCAGUAACAUUUUAUAUGUUCUCGUGAAUUUGAUAAUGUAUCACAUAAACAAUAAAUGUGUAUAUUGAUCCACACUGUUACUGCUACUCUAUGGAACGUUGCUUUAAUUCCAUCUGCCAAAAGCAAUAUUUUCAGAAUGCCAACCUAAGUGAAUGGAAGUGAUUUAACUGUGAUGAACUCCAGGAUCAUCAUAGUAUAUAAAUUCGAAUAUAACUGCUCCAACCAUGUUAGACAGUAAAUAUUCUUGUUCAAUUGUUUUUGCUACUUUACUCUGUUCGGUGAUUAUGCAGCUUCUCAAAGAGAGAGGACUUCUACCGGAACUUGGUCCCCAGGUAGAGAACAUUGUCUGCUCAUUGGAUCAGGAUCUCCAGGGUGCAGCUUCUGCAGUUGCUGCUAAACUCAGGGGAAAAGGACAAAGUGUUGACUUGGUUCUGGAAAAUAAACCCCUCAAAUGGUAUGAGAUUUGAGAUUUCAUGAUACCCGUAGAAAAGUUAAUUUUUUUAAAAAGUCACAAUAUCUUGUGUUCCGUAUCCUUUGUUUCUUGUACCAUACCAAAAUAUGAACAUUCACCACUUUUUUUUAACGGUUUAUAAUCUUCAGGGUGUUUAAAAGGGCAGCACGAAUAAAUGCUUGCAGGCUGAUAUUAGUGGGUAGCGCGGAGUGGCAAAAGGGCAUGGUUCGAGUCAAAAUUCUUUCGUCGGGCGAGCAAUAUGAGAUUAAAGUUAAUGAGCUAGAAUAGCAAGGUUAAAUUAUUAUGCACAUGCAUGUACCUUUUACAUUUAUCUUGGCAUAUAAGACCAAUUCCAUUUUUAUUAUUGGUUUCUAAAUUUUCAAUUUUUCAGAUCUUAUUGUAGCAUACGGGGAACUUCAUAUCUGUAACAACAUACCAUCUAGAAUUUGAAUAAAAAUUAAGUGUAUUGUUUGGUUCUGAGUUUAUCUUUUGGUUGAUUAAGUGGAGAGUAAUGUGAUAGUUUUAUUAUGCUGGAAA
RNAcentral lists this long non-coding RNA (4242 nucleotides) under Olea europaea subsp. europaea. The record is from RNAcentral. Lineage: Eukaryota; Viridiplantae; Streptophyta; Magnoliopsida; Lamiales; Oleaceae.